RNAcentral lists this ribosomal RNA (254 nucleotides) under uncultured bacterium. RNAcentral's name for it is "partial 16S ribosomal RNA". It matches the Rfam family "Bacterial small subunit ribosomal RNA", at positions 524 to 776 of the family's 1533-position model. The record is from RNAcentral.
UACGUAGGCAGCAAGCGUUGUUCGGAGUUACUGGGCGUAAAGGGUGUGUAGGCGGUUGUUUAAGUUUGGUGUGAAAUCUCCCGGCUCAACUGGGAGGGUGCGCCGAAUACUGAAUGACUUUGAGUGCGGGAGAGGAAAGUGGAAUUCCUGGUGUAGCGGUGAAAUGCGUAGAUAUCUGGAGGAAUACCGGUGGCGAAGGCGGCAUCCUGGACCGGUAUUGACACUGAGGCGCGAAAGCCAGGGGAGCAAACAGG